Small nuclear RNA from Phyllostomus hastatus (greater spear-nosed bat), 161 nucleotides. RefSeq annotates it as U1 spliceosomal RNA. The transcript has a single exon. NCBI's taxonomy places the organism in Eukaryota, Metazoa, Chordata, Mammalia, Chiroptera, Phyllostomidae. The record is from RefSeq and is a predicted model, not a curated record.
ACACUUACCUGGCAGGGGAGAUACUGUGAUCACAGUGGUGGUUUUCCCAGGGCCAGGCUCACCCACUGCACUCCGGCUGUGCUGACCCCUACGAUUUCCCCAAGUGGGGGAAACUCAACUGCAUAACUUGUUGUGGGGGACUGUGUUCAUGCUCUCCCCUG